This is a non-coding RNA of Tinamus guttatus (white-throated tinamou), 191 nucleotides long. NCBI's taxonomy places the organism in Eukaryota, Metazoa, Chordata, Aves, Tinamiformes, Tinamidae. The record is from RefSeq and is a predicted model, not a curated record.
CGCACGGUGGGGUAAGGGGUUAAGUCUUUUUAAAGGUGUUUUAAAUCACGUGAGAUCAGAUUCUUUUUUGGUCCCUUGCUUAGCAGCUGUCUCUGCAAAACUUAAAACAGGCAAUUAACUCUAGCUGAUGCCACUGCUAUUUUUUUAUCUGAUGUCUUCUGCUCCAACACAGAACAGAGCCUGAGGGUGGC